This 305-nucleotide ribosomal RNA is filed under the name uncultured bacterium. RNAcentral describes it as "bacterial SSU rRNA". It matches the Rfam family "Bacterial small subunit ribosomal RNA", at positions 333 to 655 of the family's 1533-position model. The record is from RNAcentral.
GGGCCCCUACGGGGCGCAGCAGUGGGGGAUAUUGCACAAUGGGGGGAACCCUGAUGCAGCGACGCCGCGUGGGUGAAGAAGCGUCUCGGCGCGUAAAGCCCUGUCAGCAGGGAAGAAAAUGACGGUACCUGAAGAAGAAGCCCCGGCUAACUACGUGCCAGCAGCCGCGGUAAUACGUAGGGGGCAAGCGUUAUCCGGAUUUACUGGGUGUAAAGGGGGCGCAGACGGCGAUGCAAGCCAGGAGUGAAAGCCCGGGGCCCAGCCCCGGGACUGCUCUUGGAACUGCGUGGUCGGAGUGCCGGAGG